AGCAGCCGCGGUAAUUCCAGCUCCAAUAGCGUAUAUUAAAGUUGUUGCAGUUAAAAAGCUCGUAGUUGAAUUUCGGGGUUAGUAGGUUGGUCAUGCCUCUGGUAUGUACUGGUCUCACUGAUUCCUCCUUCCUGAUGAGCCGUAAUGCCAUUAAUUUGGUGUUGCGGGGAAUUUGGACUGUUACUUUGAAAAAAUUAGAGUGUUUAAAGCAAGCUAACGCUUGAAUACAUUAGCAUGGAAUAAUGAAAUAGGACGUUCGAUCCUAUUUUGUUGGUUUCUAGGAUUGACGUAAUGAUUAAUAGGGAUAGUUGGGGGCAUUAGUAUUCAAUUGUCAGAGGUGAAAUUCUUGGAUUUAUUGAAGACUAACUACUGCGAAAGCAUUUGCCAAGGAUGUUUUCAUUAAUCAAGAACGAAAGUUAGGGGAUCGAAGACGAUCAGAUACCGUCGUAGUCUUAACCAUAAACUAUGCCGACUAGGGAUCGGAUGAUGUUAAUUUUUUAAUGUACUCAUUCGGCGCCUU
RNAcentral lists this small RNA (520 nucleotides) under uncultured Glomus. RNAcentral's name for it is "SSU rRNA". It matches the Rfam family "Eukaryotic small subunit ribosomal RNA", at positions 569 to 1089 of the family's 1831-position model. The record is from RNAcentral. Lineage: Eukaryota; Fungi; Glomeromycota; Glomeromycetes; Glomerales; Glomeraceae.